CGGAUUCCUCGUUAGGUGAGGCGUCUGUACGUUGGAGAGGCCGCUGCCCGGAAAGGUCGAGAGACCCCAAUGGGUGACCAGGCACCGUCGAGUCAAGGCGGAGCUUAACGCGGAAGGGGCUCGUUCCCACGGCGUGCAGUGCUAAAGCUCAACGUCGGGGCUACGAG
Molecule: small RNA, 167 nt
Filed under: mine drainage metagenome
Description: ykoK
Rfam family: M-box riboswitch aptamer (ykoK leader)
About the family: M-box riboswitch, also know as ykoK leader is described as a metaloregulatory RNA that sense divalent metals and function as a genetic control element of genes related to divalent metal transport in bacteria. It was first reported upstream of the B.subtilis ykoK gene and genes with related functions in other bacteria. Phylogenetic analysis of the distribution of M-box RNAs across bacterial genomes revealed that M-box riboswitches are most often employed for the regulation of Mg2+ transporter genes
Source: RNAcentral